UACGAAGGUGGCAAGCGUUGUCCGGAUUUACUGGGCGUAAAGAGCGCGCAGGCGGUCGUUCAAGUCGCGUGUGAAAGCCCCCGGCUCAACUGGGGAGGGUCACGCGAUACUGAUCGACUCGAAGGCAGGAGAGGGUAGUGGAAUUCCCGGUGUAGUGGUGAAAUGCGUAGAUAUCGGGAGGAACACCAGUGGCGAAGGCGACUACCUGGCCUGUUCUUGACGCUGAGGCGCGAAAGCUAGGGGAGCAAACGGG
This 253-nucleotide ribosomal RNA is filed under the name uncultured bacterium. RNAcentral describes it as "partial 16S ribosomal RNA". It matches the Rfam family "Bacterial small subunit ribosomal RNA", at positions 524 to 776 of the family's 1533-position model. The record is from RNAcentral.